This 254-nucleotide ribosomal RNA is filed under the name uncultured bacterium. RNAcentral's name for it is "partial 16S ribosomal RNA". It matches the Rfam family "Bacterial small subunit ribosomal RNA", at positions 524 to 776 of the family's 1533-position model. The record is from RNAcentral.
UACAGAGGUCCCAAGCGUUGUUCGGAUUCAUUGGGCGUAAAGAGCUCGUAGGCGGUCUGUCGCGUCGAUCGUGAAGACUUGGGGCUUAACCCUGAGCUUGCGGUCGAUACGGGCAUGACUGGAGUUCGGCAGGGGAGACUGGAAUUCCUGGUGUAGCGGUGAAAUGCGCAGAUAUCAGGAGGAACACCGGUGGCGAAGGCGGGUCUAUGGGCCGAUACUGACGCUGAGGAGCGAAAGCGUGGGGAGCGAACAGG